RNAcentral lists this ribosomal RNA (200 nucleotides) under uncultured bacterium. RNAcentral's name for it is "partial 16S ribosomal RNA". It matches the Rfam family "Bacterial small subunit ribosomal RNA", at positions 8 to 225 of the family's 1533-position model. The record is from RNAcentral.
AGAGUUUGAUCCUGGCUCAGGAUAAACGCUGGCGGCGUGCCUAACACAUGCAAGUCGAACGCCCUUAGCAAUAAGGGAGUGGCGGACGGGUGAGGAACACGUGGGUUAUCUACCUUGGGGUGAGGAAUACCGGCGAGAAAUCGCCGACAAUACCGCAUAGGUUUCGCAAGAAACAAAGCUCAGGAAUGAGCGCCACAAGA